GGAUCGUAAAGUUCUGUUGUCAGGGAAGAACAGUGCCGUGCGAUAGAGCGGCACCUUGACGGUACCUGACGAGGAAGCCCCGGCUAACUACGUGCCAGCAGCCGCGGUAAUACGUAGGGGGCAAGCGUUGUCCGGAAUUAUUGGGCGUAAAGCGCGCGCAGGCGGUUCCUUAAGUCUGAUGUGAAAGCCCACGGCUCAACCGUGGAGGGUCAUUGGAAACUGG
This 223-nucleotide ribosomal RNA is filed under the name uncultured bacterium. RNAcentral's name for it is "partial 16S ribosomal RNA". It matches the Rfam family "Bacterial small subunit ribosomal RNA", at positions 420 to 636 of the family's 1533-position model. The record is from RNAcentral.